Molecule: long non-coding RNA, 288 nt
Organism: Corapipo altera (White-ruffed manakin)
Lineage: Eukaryota; Metazoa; Chordata; Aves; Passeriformes; Pipridae
Exons: 3
Source: RefSeq, a predicted model, not a curated record
AGGGGAUUUCAGCUGCGCUCGACAGAAAGUGGGUGAACCUGGAGGAUAGCGUGAAUGGUGUGGUAGGGAAGGGAGAGGAGCAGGAAUCCCUUCCCAGAGUUCUUGCAGGACAAGAAUGGAUAACAUCAAGAAGGUCCUCCCAUUCUUUUCUGACUCUGUAUGAAACAUCUGACAUUGCAAUGUCUGCAUCUUAUUGAAAAAUCCAGAGGCUCCCAGACCCAGAGUACCCAGAAACAUUCACUUCCUCAAUGAAGCUUUUGAAGGAAAUUAUUGGCCCCACAUUUUUCU